GAUGAAGAACGCAGCGAAAUGCGAUACGUAAUGUGAAUUGCAGAAUUCAGUGAAUCAUCGAAUCUUUGAACGCAUAUUGCGCUCUCUGGUAUUCCGGAGAGCAUGCUUGUUUGAGUAUCAGUAAACACCUCAACUUCCAUAUCUUUUUUGAAAUGAGAGUUGGACUUGAGUGAUCCCAACGCUUUUCCUCACCGAAAAGUGGCGGGUUACUUGAAAUGCAGGUGCAGCUGGACUUUUCUCUGAGCUAUAAGCAUAUCUAUUUAGUCUGCCUAAAAAACAGAUUAUUACCUUUGCUGCAGCUAACAUAAAGGAGAUUAGUUCUUGUGCUGACUGAUGCAGGAUUCACAAAGACGGCUUCGGCCGACUUUGUAAACUCGAUCUCAAAUCAAGUAAGACUACCCGCUGAACUUAAGCAUAUCAAUAAGCGGAGGA
This 432-nucleotide unclassified non-coding RNA is filed under the name soil metagenome. Its description in RNAcentral is "partial contains 5.8S ribosomal RNA, internal transcribed spacer 2, and large subunit ribosomal RNA". The stretch from base 1 to 120 matches the Rfam family "5.8S ribosomal RNA", at positions 35 to 154 of the family's 154-position model. The record is from RNAcentral.